AGAGUUUGAUCAUGGCUCAGAUUGAACGCUGGCGGCAGGCCUAACACAUGCAAGUCGAGCGGCAGCGGGAAAGUAGCUUGCUACUUUUGCCGGCGAGCGGCGGACGGGUGAGUAAUGCCUGGGAAAUUGCCCAGUCGAGGGGGAUAACAGUUGGAAACGACUGCUAAUACCGCAUACGCCCUACGGGGGAAAGCAGGGGACCUUCGGGCCUUGCGCGAUUGGAUAUGCCCAGGUGGGAUUAGCUAGUUGGUGAGGUAAUGGCUCACCAAGGCGACGAUCCCUAGCUGGUCUGAGAGGAUGAUCAGCCACACUGGAACUGAGACACGGUCCAGUACUCCUACGGGAGGCAGCUAGUGGGGAAUAUUGCACAAUGGGGGAAACCUUGAUGCAUCCAUGCCGCGUGUGUGAAGAAGGCCUUCGGGUUGUAAAGCACUUUCAUCGAGGAGGAAAGGUCAUUAGCUAAUAUCUGCUGGCUGUGACGUUACUC
This 487-nucleotide ribosomal RNA is filed under the name uncultured bacterium. RNAcentral's name for it is "bacterial SSU rRNA". It matches the Rfam family "Bacterial small subunit ribosomal RNA", at positions 8 to 480 of the family's 1533-position model. The record is from RNAcentral.